GGUCAAGUUAUUAAGGGUGCAGGGCGGAUGCCUUGGCACUAGGAGCCGAUGAAGGACGUGAUAAGCUGCGAUAAGCUUCGGGGAGUUGCACGUAAACUUUGAUCCGAAGAUUUCCGAAUGAGGAAACUCACUUAGAGUAAUGUCUAAGUAUCAUUAAGUGAAUACAUAGCUUAAUGAGGGGAACUCAGGGAACUGAAACAUCUAAGUACCUGAAGGAAGAGAAAGAAAUUCGAUUCCGUAAGUAGCGGCGAGCGAACGCGGAUUAGCCCAAACCAAUAAA
Molecule: ribosomal RNA, 280 nt
Filed under: Clostridioides difficile
Lineage: Bacteria; Bacillati; Bacillota; Clostridia; Peptostreptococcales; Peptostreptococcaceae
Description: partial 23S ribosomal RNA
Rfam family: Bacterial large subunit ribosomal RNA
Source: RNAcentral